This 488-nucleotide ribosomal RNA is filed under the name uncultured bacterium. Its description in RNAcentral is "partial 16S ribosomal RNA". It matches the Rfam family "Bacterial small subunit ribosomal RNA", at positions 29 to 507 of the family's 1533-position model. The record is from RNAcentral.
AGUGAACGCUGGCGGCAGGCCUAACACAUGCAAGUCGAACGGCAGCACAAGAGAGCUUGCUCUCUGGGUGGCGAGUGCGGACGGGUGAGGAAUGCAUCGGAAUCUGCCCAUUUGUGGGGGAUAACCUCGGGAAACCGGGACUAAUACCGCAUACGACCUACGGGUGAAAGCAGGGGAUCUUCGGACCUUGCGCAGAUGGAUGAGCCGAUGCCGGAUUAGCUAGUUGGAGGGGUAAAGGCCACCAAGGCGACGAUCCGUAGCUGGUCUGAGAGGAUGAUCAGCCACACUGGGACUGAGACACGGCCCAGACUCCUACGGGAGGCAGCAGUGGGGAAUAUUGGACAAUGGGCGCAAGCCUGAUCCAGCCAUGCCGCGUGUGUGAAGAAGGCCUUCGGGUUGUAAAGCACUUUUGUUGGGAAAGAAAAGCAGCCGGUUAAUACCCGGUUGUCAUGACGGUACCCAAAGAAUAAGCACCGGCUAACUUCGUG